GUGCUCGCUUCUGCAACACAUACACUAAAAUUGGAACGAUACAGAGAAGAUUAGCAUGUCCCCUGCACAAGGAUGACAUGCAAAUUUGUGAAGCACUCCAUAUUUUA
This is a small nuclear RNA of Nycticebus coucang (slow loris), 107 nucleotides long. The record is from RefSeq and is a predicted model, not a curated record. NCBI's taxonomy places the organism in Eukaryota, Metazoa, Chordata, Mammalia, Primates, Lorisidae.